Long non-coding RNA from Biomphalaria glabrata, 2099 nucleotides. RefSeq lists it as uncharacterized. The transcript is spliced from 3 exons. The record is from RefSeq and is a predicted model, not a curated record. Lineage: Eukaryota; Metazoa; Mollusca; Gastropoda; Planorbidae.
CCUAUUUCUUUAUGGCUUCAUCUCUGGGGUAGUAGUAUCGUCACUAAUUGUUGGAGUGAUCAUAGCCUGUAAAUUAUAUAGGAAACGUGAAGUAUCGAACAGAAGAGAACAAAGUGUUCAACAAACUGCGGGCUUUUUCAGUGCACUGACCAAAGGUUUGGAACUCACUCCCCAUUGAUCUCAAACAGACAACAUGCUAUACCACUUUUAAGAAGAACAUUAAGACCUACUUGUUUAAAACUUUUUUAGAUUAGUUUGUGAUUUCCAUUGUCGUGUUUGUGUUUGCAGGCUAGUUUGGUUACUUUUACUGGUUUUAGCCUUUUUAACGUUGUUAAUCAGUGUUGAUCGGGCAAUGUUAAAUUCUUUUGCCGCAUGUCGAACUGUCAUGCCCUUCUCAACAGCAGUUACAGCAUCUAUCAUAACUGACUCUGGCACUUUGCCUUUGUCAGUUUUCCUUAUGUAAACUCGAGGCAUUAUUACCUACCUAGAAAAAGAAAAAAAAAUAUUUGUCAUUUCAUUAGGCCUAAUAUUGACUAAAUCUAUGUUUUGUCUUUGACUUUAAAAAAUCUAGAUUAGAUCUAGAUCUACUUAAAAUAGAACACCAGCAUUAAUAAUUAACAUAUUUAUUACAGUAAAGAUGGACAUACAUCUAUAGGUCUAUAGAUUCUAGAUCUAGUUCUAGAUCAAGAAAGCUACUUCUCUAAUUCAGUUUUCUAGUUUAAUUCUAGUUAGAUCUAUACGUCUAGACCAGUAGAUCUAAAUCUAGCCAGGGUUUUUGUCAUGGAACUAGAUCUAUAAACCUGCAGCCGCCUACUGAUCACUAUAUGACAGACGAUACUCUCUUUACUAAGUCUUUAAUUCUAGAUCUAGAAGAUCACAGUAAAACUCAAUGUGUACUUCCGACUUUAGCUCAACAAGUCUACUCCAAAGUAUACUAGUAAAGUCACAAAAUGUAAAGGAUCAUUAUAUAUUCACAUAAAAAAAAUGUAGGCCUAAAUGAAUCGAGUAAUCAGUCACUAAUUUGACUAAUCUAAAUUGUUUUUUUUUAAAUGGCAAGGGUUAUUGAUAACUUCUGACUUGUACACGAGUUGCAGAGAUUGUAGCUUUUAUUUUGAUGACAUGUUACGAGAUAUCAAUGAUAUUUAGAUAAACGCAAGUACCUAGUGGCAUAGAGAGAAGGACCAUUUAAUAUAAGGCAAAGAAGUAAGAUGUUUAUAAUCCAUCAAACUCACAGAGGACUUGUGUCAUUUGUGACAGCAUUUCAUGCAUUUACAGAAGCUACAAACUAUGACACAAAAAUGAUAGGCUUGUCUUUGAUUCCGAAGACUUAUGAGGAAUGCUGUUUCCAGUGCCUACUCAGCCGCAGCUGUGACCUACAUAUUAUGCCACACUGAGAACAGGCAUAACCAUUGUCCAACUGUGGUAGAAUCAGGUUUUUUUUUCUUUUUGCCGUCUACCCUCGGCAAUUAAUUUUCAUUGGUGUAUACCACACCUUUGUAAGUGACCUCCAGCUGUCUCAUUCUGAAGCUGUAUGCAACCAGGUGCUCUCUUAUUCUAUGUCAGUUAAAGCAAGUUAGCGCCUAAGCUAGUCUUUAAAGCAUUUCUGUGGUACCUCUUUACGUGCAUAUGACAUGUUAGGCAAAUAGGUUUAGCCCAUCAGAAGGCCAUUUCGGAAAGUAUAGGUGUUUAAAAUGAAACUCCAAAUAUCUGGACUACCUGUUACCAAGAAAAUAAGCUUAGGUUUCAAAGAGAUGACACUGACAUUUCAGCUAAGACGAUCAGUAAAAUUAAUAGCAACUUUAAUUGCAGUCCACCAAACAAGAUAAAAAAAAAAACAAGUGUGGCUUCAAUAGCAUUGAUGAUAUUUAGUUUACUUUUAUCUCAUUUACUAGUAUUACUAUGUCAUUGACUAAGGUUUUUUAUUGUCAAAUAGGCAUAAGUACAUGUACUAGUUCCUGCAAUUUGAUGAAAAAUAAUAAUUAAAUUGUGUGUAGUCUAUAUACAAAUGUUUAUAAGAGAUCACAGCUUAGCUUAACUUACUUAAUUUCAAAACUAUGAUUUUGUGUUCUGACUCUACUCUAAAUAAAUUAUAUUUUAUU